RNAcentral lists this ribosomal RNA (371 nucleotides) under uncultured bacterium. RNAcentral's name for it is "bacterial SSU rRNA". It matches the Rfam family "Bacterial small subunit ribosomal RNA", at positions 527 to 896 of the family's 1533-position model. The record is from RNAcentral.
GUAGGUGGCGAGCGUUGUCCGGAUUUACUGGGCGUAAAGAGCGCGCAGGCGGCUGGUCAAGUCCGAUGUGAAAGCUCCCGGCUUAACUGGGAAAUUGCAUCGGAAACUGAUCGGCUGGAAGGUGGGAGAGGGUAGCGGAAUUCCCGGUGUAGUGGUGAAAUGCGUAGAUAUCGGGAGGAACACCAGUGGCGAAAGCGGCUACCUGGCCCAUUCUUGACGCUGAGGCGCGAAAGCUAGGGGAGCAAACGGGAUUAGAUACCCCGGUAGUCCUAGCCGUAAACGAUGAACACUAGGCGUAGUCGGUAUCGACCCCGGCUGUGCCGUAGCUAACGCAUUAAGUGUUCCGCCUGGGGAGUACGGCCGCAAGGCUA